This 407-nucleotide ribosomal RNA is filed under the name uncultured bacterium. RNAcentral describes it as "partial 16S ribosomal RNA". It matches the Rfam family "Bacterial small subunit ribosomal RNA", at positions 355 to 774 of the family's 1533-position model. RNAcentral also lists the same sequence under 1 other name. The record is from RNAcentral.
UGGGGAAUAUUGCACAAUGGGCGCAAGCCUGAUGCAGCGACGCCGCGUGAGGGAUGACGGCCUUCGGGUUGUAAACCUCUUUCAGUACCGACGAAGCGCGAGUGACGGUAGGUACAGAAGAAGCACCGGCCAACUACGUGCCAGCAGCCGCGGUAAUACGUAGGGUGCGAGCGUUGUCCGGAAUUACUGGGCGUAAAGAGCUCGUAGGCGGUUUGUCGCGUCGUCUGUGAAAACCCGCAGCUCAACUGCGGGCUUGCAGGCGAUACGGGCAGACUUGAGUACUGCAGGGGAGACUGGAAUUCCUGGUGUAGCGGUGAAAUGCGCAGAUAUCAGGAGGAACACCGGUGGCGAAGGCGGGUCUCUGGGCAGUAACUGACGCUGAGGAGCGAAAGCGUGGGUAGCGAACA